RNAcentral lists this ribosomal RNA (497 nucleotides) under uncultured bacterium. RNAcentral's name for it is "partial 16S ribosomal RNA". It matches the Rfam family "Bacterial small subunit ribosomal RNA", at positions 28 to 507 of the family's 1533-position model. The record is from RNAcentral.
GAUGAACGCUGGCGGCGUGCCUAAUACAUGCAAGUCGAGCGAACAGACGAUGAGCUUGCUCCUCUGACGUUAGCGGCGGACGGGUGAGUAACACGUGGAUAACCUACCUAUAUUACUGGGAUAACUUCGUGAAACCGGAUCUAAUACCGGAUAAUAUAUUGAACCGCAUGGUUCAAUAGUGAAUGACGGUUUUGCUGUCACUUAUAGAUGUAUCCGCGCCGCAUUAGCUAGUUGGUAAGGUAACGCCUUACCAAGGCAACGAUGCGUAGCCGACCUGAGAGGGUGAUCGGACACACUGGAACUGAGACACGGUCCAGACUCCUACGGGAGGCAGCAGAAGGGAAACUUCCGCAAUGGGCGAAAGCGUGACGGAGAAACGCAGCGUGAGUGAGGAAGGUCUUCGGAUCGUAAAACUCUGUUAUGAGGGAAGAAAAAAUGUGUAAGUAAAUAUGCACGUCUUGACGGUACAUAAUCAGAAAGAGAAGGCUAACUACGUG